GAUGAAGAACGUAGCGAAAUGCGAUAAGUAAUGUGAAUUGCAGAAUUCAGUGAAUCAUCGAAUCUUUGAACGCACAUGCGCCCGCCAGUAUUCUGGCGGGCAUGCCUGUCUGAGCGUCAUUUCAACCCUCAUGCCCCUAGGGCGUGGUGUUGGGGAUCGGCCAAAGCCCGCGAGGGACGGCCGGCCCCUAAAUCUAGUGGCGGACCCGUCGUGGCCUCCUCUGCGAAGUAGUGAUAUUCCGCAUCGGAGAGCGACGAGCCCCUGCCGUUAAACCCCCAACUUUCCAAGGUUGACCUCAGAUCAGGUAGGAAUACCCGCUGAACUUAAGCAUAUCAAUAAGCGGAGGA
RNAcentral lists this unclassified non-coding RNA (347 nucleotides) under soil metagenome. RNAcentral's name for it is "partial contains 5.8S ribosomal RNA, internal transcribed spacer 2, and large subunit ribosomal RNA". The stretch from base 1 to 119 matches the Rfam family "5.8S ribosomal RNA", at positions 35 to 154 of the family's 154-position model. The record is from RNAcentral.